AACGUAGGACGCAAGCGUCAUCCGGAGUUACUGGGCGUAAAGCGCGGGCAGGCGGUUACUCAAGUCUGAUGUGAAAGCGCUUGGCUCAACCAAGCGAUGCCAUUGGAAACUGGGCAACUGGAGUCUGGCAGAGGUAGGCGGAAUUCCGGGUGGAGCGGUGAAAUGCGUAGAUAUCGCUUGGAACGCCAAAGGUGAAGACAGGUCGCUGGGGGUGUGCCGACGCUGAGACGCGAAAGCCAGGGGAGCAAACAGG
RNAcentral lists this ribosomal RNA (253 nucleotides) under uncultured bacterium. RNAcentral's name for it is "partial 16S ribosomal RNA". It matches the Rfam family "Bacterial small subunit ribosomal RNA", at positions 524 to 776 of the family's 1533-position model. The record is from RNAcentral.